Molecule: long non-coding RNA, 490 nt
Filed under: Aquilegia coerulea
Lineage: Eukaryota; Viridiplantae; Streptophyta; Magnoliopsida; Ranunculales; Ranunculaceae
Description: long non-coding RNA (ACOE_LNC000160)
Source: RNAcentral
AUGCUUGGUCAAGGGAUGCGGCAUGCAGCAUUUGAUUCUUCUGCGAGAUAUUAUGGUUGGUUGCAAGAGCAAAGGACUGCCACAACAAGGGCUAAAGAAGAACUCGCAGCAAGUGCUUCUAGGGUUGCUGAGCUGACAAGCACAUUAGAGGCCUUGGUAAGUAAUUAUUAAUUACUAUUACAGUUAAACCCUAAAAUUUAUUAAUUUUAGUUAUUAAAUUUUAAUUGUAUUUAUAUUUGAUUAUAGGAGUUGCAAAGGCACACUAGACGCGGUGGACGGGGACGAGGUGGACGGGGCCGAAGUGGACGAGGCCGAAGUGGGGAGAGUAGUCAGGGGAGUGCACCUUGAGUGUUUUGAGUGCUUGAUAUUGCUUGAUAUUAGGGUUGGUUUGAGUGUUUGUUAACUGUAUACUAUUGCUUGAUGUUAGGGUUGUUUCUGUUGAACUACCAUAGAAGAUAAAUUUAUGGUUAUUUCUUAAUGAUUUAUUUAU